UACAGAGGUGGCUAGCGUUGUUCGGAAUUACUGGGCGUAAAGGGAGCGCAGGCGGCCAGGUGCGUCUGAGGUGCAAGCCCGGGGCUCAACCCCGGAAUCGCUUUGGAUACGGCCUGGCUUGAGUAUGUCAGAGGUGAGCGGAAUUCCAGGUGUAGCGGUGAAAUGCGUAGAUAUCUGGAGGAACAUCCGUGGCGAAGGCGGCUCACUGGGACAAAACUGACGCUGAGGCUCGAAAGCGUGGGGAGCGAACGGG
This 253-nucleotide ribosomal RNA is filed under the name uncultured bacterium. RNAcentral describes it as "partial 16S ribosomal RNA". It matches the Rfam family "Bacterial small subunit ribosomal RNA", at positions 524 to 776 of the family's 1533-position model. The record is from RNAcentral.